UGCGGAGGGUGCGAGCGUUGUCCGGAAUCACUGGGCGUAAAGGGCGCGUAGGCGGCGCGGGCAGUCAACGGUGAAAGCUCGGAGCUCAACUCCGAGUCGGCCGUCGAUACUCCCGUGCUUGAGCACUGUAGAGGCAGGUGGAAUUCCGGGUGUAGCGGUGGAAUGCGUAGAGAUCCGGAAGAACACCGGUGGCGAAGGCGGCCUGCUGGGCAGUAGCUGACGCUGAGGCGCGACAGCGUGGGGAGCAAACAGG
Molecule: ribosomal RNA, 253 nt
Filed under: uncultured bacterium
Lineage: Bacteria
Description: partial 16S ribosomal RNA
Rfam family: Bacterial small subunit ribosomal RNA
Source: RNAcentral